UACGUAGGGAGCAAGCGUUGUCCGGAAUCAUUGGGCGUAAAGCGCGCGUAGGUGGCCUCGUAAGUCCGCUGUGAAAGUCAAAGGCUCAACCUUUGAAAGCCGGUGGAUACUGCGAGGCUAGAGUACGGAAGAGGCGAGUGGAAUUCCUGGUGUAGCGGUGGAAUGCGCAGAUAUCAGGAGGAACACCAAUAGCGAAGGCAGCUCGCUGGGACGUUACUGACACUGAGGCGCGAAAGCGUGGGGAGCGAACAGG
This 253-nucleotide ribosomal RNA is filed under the name uncultured bacterium. RNAcentral's name for it is "partial 16S ribosomal RNA". It matches the Rfam family "Bacterial small subunit ribosomal RNA", at positions 524 to 776 of the family's 1533-position model. The record is from RNAcentral.